CAUAUUGCCUGGAAAGUAGUUGAUAUUCAAUUAAUAUACUCAUAAAACUGAGUGGAGAAACCAUUUUGGAUAAUAGGUCUCUCUGAAACUCUGAUAAAACCAAAGAAUUCUACAAAAUAGCUUACAGAUACAUAGUUUUACUUAAAUGUCAUGGGGUUUUUACAUCUCCUAAAUGCUCUUCAAGUUAGAAUCCUUGGUGAUUUUUUUUCCUAUUGCAUGAAUCCAUUUGCUGAGUGCUAUUGUUUUGAAAAAUAUUUGAUCCUAUAGAGGAUGCCAGAUGUAAAAUCUUGUGCUUCAAAGGAAGCUAUGCCAAAUAGAGAUGUGUCAUAAAAAUAGAAUGAUUCCAGAGCUUCUAGAAUUUUUAUGUGAUUUGUAAAAUGUUGUGCAUGUAUCUGAAAUACUGAAUUGCUUUAGAACUUAAAGGAACAUCCAUUUUGGCAGUAUUUAAUUUUUUUAAAGUAGUCUUAUAAUCUUAAGACUUAAGUUAACUUAUAUAAUACUUUAUAUAUUCUAUACCCUUUGUAAAAUUUUAGGACUUGACUAAUUACAAAAUCGGCCAUUUGUCCAGCCAUUGAAUAGUAUGUGAGGAAAUUGAGGCUUGAUCAUCCAGCCCAAAAGUUAAUAGUAUGAGUUAUUGGGAGUAGCAAUACUUAGUAUUUCAAUAAUUUCAGAUGUCAAGGUCUGAGCAAGGAUUCCUGUCUGUUUUAUUGUUUCACAGCUUUGAACAGUGUCUGAUACAUAACAGAUGUUCAAACAAUAGUUUUCUCUGUCUCAAUUAAAUAAAGUUAAAAAGAAAAUGUUAGCUUAAGAAUUUGUGCAGCACCUAUUACUUAAGCACCAACUUUAUGUCAUCCACUGUUCUAGAUACAUGAAAAAAGAGUUGACUGCAACACAGACCUUGCCUCAAGUUUCUCAACUUCUAUUUUUGCCACCUGUGCAAAAGCAACCAACCAACUAACACUGAUACUGAUCGACAAUGCUGAUAUAUCAAUUUCUGCUGUGGGACAGGGAGAACAAAACUCUCUUCUGGAAACUUUCAAGUGAUGCUGUGAGAAGAAAGACAGUAAAGUUAUUGAAGCUCUUCCUUUGUGAUGCUACUGGGAUUCCAGGAAAUGCUUCUGCAUGCCUGACAUUGCGCUGAGUGCUAAGAUAGAAGGAAGAAUGAGACGUGGAUCUUGAGGUAAGAAACCUGAAAUUUAGUAAAUGAAAUAAUUAAGCAAAUAUUGCAGUAUAGAAAUUUAUUUGUAGUGAUGAAAAGAAAACUCUAAAGAAUGUAUUGCUUACAUAAAUUUGUCUAAUUUGACUUAUAUUCAUACCUGUACUUAUUGUGAGACCAAUAAAUGUUCUGAAAAUUAUAAAUAUCGACUGGGU
RNAcentral lists this long non-coding RNA (1371 nucleotides) under Oryctolagus cuniculus (rabbit). RNAcentral describes it as "lncRNA (ENSOCUG00000036171.1)". Lineage: Eukaryota; Metazoa; Chordata; Mammalia; Lagomorpha; Leporidae. The record is from RNAcentral.